RNAcentral lists this ribosomal RNA (497 nucleotides) under uncultured bacterium. RNAcentral describes it as "partial 16S ribosomal RNA". It matches the Rfam family "Bacterial small subunit ribosomal RNA", at positions 28 to 507 of the family's 1533-position model. The record is from RNAcentral.
GAUGAACGCUGGCGGCGUGCCUAAUACAUGCAAGUCGAGCGAACAGACGAGGAGCUUACUCCUCUGACGUUAGCGGCGGACGGGUGAGUAGCACGUGGAUAACCUACCUAUAAGACUGGGAUAACUUCGGGAAACCGGAGCUAAUACCGGAUAACAUGUUGAACCGCAUGGUUCAACAGUGAAAGACGGUCUUGCUGUCACUUAUAGACGGAUCCGCGUCGCAUUAGCUAGUUGGUAAGGUAACGGCUUACCAAGGCAACGAUGCGUAGCCGACCUGAGAGGGUGAUCGGCCACACUGGAACUGAGACACGGUCCAGACUCCUACGGGAGGCAGCAGUAGGGAAUCUUCCGCAAUGGGCGAAAGCCUGACGGAGCAACGCCGCGUGAGUGAAGAAGGUCUUCGGAUCGUAAAACUCUGUUAUUAGGGAAGAACAAAUGUGUAAGUAACUAUGCACGUCUUGACGGUACCUAAUCAGAAAGCCACGGCUAACUACGUG